Non-coding RNA from Vicugna pacos (alpaca), 837 nucleotides. Lineage: Eukaryota; Metazoa; Chordata; Mammalia; Artiodactyla; Camelidae. The record is from RefSeq and is a predicted model, not a curated record.
CGCGCUCUCACGCCCGGUCUGGCGGGCGCUCAAGUCCCACUCUCUCAGAGGUCCCUGCCUGACUCCUGAGGCGACCCCAUCCUCCUCACACCCACCCACCCACGAGGCCAAGUGCAAAACCAGGGACCUUCUUCAGUCCGUGGGAAGGCCGGGCCUUAGUCUGCCUCUGGGAAGUGCCCGCCAUGCCAAAACGCGGUCGGAGGUUCGCAGGCCUGGGUGCUGGACCAGGAAGAAGCGCGUCUCCCCGACCCCGGGCACCUGCUCCUGAGAGCUGCACUCUAGACGGCUCUGAGCCUGAUAGUCUGGGCACGGAGCCUCACCCCUACCCGACGUGGGGACUGCUGCCUGUUUUUGCCUUCCCGCCUUGACAAGAGGCCUGUUGCCUGUGGGCGUGCUGGUCAGUGGGGGCUAGCGGCGAAAGUGUAAUGUGCGCGAGGAGGCCGUAGAUCAUUCUCCAAUUCGGAUAGUCCCUCGUGGAGGGCUCCUGGAACUCUUUCGCCUCGUCCGGCUUGGUGAGGCUUUUUACAGCAAGUUUUCAGACCGCCCGGACUUGCCCAGGCUCUCCCAUUUAUGUGACUGAGGAACUGAAAAAUCCGGCGGGAAGAAGGGAGUCCAGCGCGGCAGGAGCAGGGGCAUGGGGUUGCCAAGCCGGAGCUGAAACUGGGGCGGGAGCCACACCUCACUCUUUCGAAAAAGCUGGGCACUGCGUUCGGACCUUCGGAAACUGAGAGAGCGAAAUAGUCCGGCGUAGAGGCGGGGCGCCUCCAAGGCCAUGCUUACUAAUUCCACGCUGCAGCGCAUACCCACUUGACAAAUAAAGAGAUUGAGUUGCCCCGG